This 253-nucleotide ribosomal RNA is filed under the name uncultured bacterium. RNAcentral describes it as "partial 16S ribosomal RNA". It matches the Rfam family "Bacterial small subunit ribosomal RNA", at positions 524 to 776 of the family's 1533-position model. The record is from RNAcentral.
UACGAAGGGGGCUAGCGUUGCUCGGAAUCACUGGGCGUAAAGCGCACGUAGGCGGAUCUUUAAGUCAGGGGUGAAAUCCUGGAGCUCAACUCCAGAACUGCCCUUGAUACUGGGGAUCUUGAGUCCGGAAGAGGUGAGUGGAACUCCGAGUGUAGAGGUGAAAUUCGUAGAUAUUCGGAAGAACACCAGUGGCGAAGGCGGCUCACUGGUCCGGUACUGACGCUGAGGUGCGAAAGCGUGGGGAGCAAACAGG